RNAcentral lists this ribosomal RNA (431 nucleotides) under Klebsiella pneumoniae. RNAcentral's name for it is "partial 23S ribosomal RNA". It matches the Rfam family "Bacterial large subunit ribosomal RNA", at positions 432 to 867 of the family's 2925-position model. Lineage: Bacteria; Pseudomonadati; Pseudomonadota; Gammaproteobacteria; Enterobacterales; Enterobacteriaceae. The record is from RNAcentral. RNAcentral also lists the same sequence under 2 other names.
UCCUGUCUGAAUAUGGGGGGACCAUCCUCCAAGGCUAAAUACUCCUGACUGACCGAUAGUGAACCAGUACCGUGAGGGAAAGGCGAAAAGAACCCCGGCGAGGGGAGUGAAAAAGAACCUGAAACCGUGUACGUACAAGCAGUGGGAGCACCUUCGGGUGUGACUGCGUACCUUUUGUAUAAUGGGUCAGCGACUUAUAUUCUGUAGCAAGGUUAACCGUAUAGGGGAGCCGCAGGGAAACCGAGUCUUAACUGGGCGUUAAGUUGCAGGGUAUAGACCCGAAACCCGGUGAUCUAGCCAUGGGCAGGUUGAAGGUUGGGUAACACUAACUGGAGGACCGAACCGACUAAUGUUGAAAAAUUAGCGGAUGACUUGUGGCUGGGGGUGAAAGGCCAAUCAAACCGGGAGAUAGCUGGUUCUCCCCGAAAGCU